GAUGAACGCUGGCGGCGUGCUUAACACAUGCAAGUCGAACGAAGCACUUUGAAACAAUCCCUCGGGUGCGUUUUAUGUGACUUAGUGGCGGACGGGUGAGUAACGCGUGGGUAACCUGCCUCAUGCAGGGGGAUAACAGUUAGAAAUGACUGCUAAUACCGCAUAAGCGCACAGUACCGCAUGGUACAGUGUGAAAAGAUUUAUCAGCAUGAGAUGGACCCGCGUCUGAUUAGCUAGUUGGUGAGGUAACGGCUCACCAAGGCGACGAUCAGUAGCCGACUUGAGAGAGUGAUCGGCCACAUUGGGGACUGAGACACGGCCCAAAACUCCUACGGGAGGCAGCAGUGGGAUAUUGCACAAU
Molecule: ribosomal RNA, 361 nt
Filed under: uncultured bacterium
Lineage: Bacteria
Description: bacterial SSU rRNA
Rfam family: Bacterial small subunit ribosomal RNA
Source: RNAcentral